Molecule: ribosomal RNA, 301 nt
Filed under: uncultured bacterium
Lineage: Bacteria
Description: partial 16S ribosomal RNA
Rfam family: Bacterial small subunit ribosomal RNA
Source: RNAcentral
CAGCAGCCACGGUAAUACGUAGGGUGCAAGCGUUAAUUGGAAUUACUGGGCGUAAAGCGUGCGCAGGCGGUUAUAUAAGACAGAUGUGAAAUCCCCGGGCUCAACCUGGGAACUGCAUUUGUGACUGUAUAGCUAGAGUACGGCAGAGGGGGAUGGAAUUCCGCGUGUAGCAGUGAAAUGCGUAGAUAUGCGGAGGAACACCGAUGGCGAAGGCAAUCCCCUGGGCCUGUACUGACGCUCAUGCACGAAAGCGUGGGGAGCAAACAGGAUUAGAUACCCGCGUAGUCCCUGUCUCUUAUAC